GGGUGAGAGGGACCUCUCCUUCUUCAGCCUUGGAUAGUAAGAGAUCUGCCCCAGGUUGUAAGAAGCUGGCAGGACCCCAGCCUUGCCUCUGCUGAGACCACCUGACAAGGAGCAGGAGAGACCGUGUGGCCAGCAGAGUCUCCGGAGAGGGGAGCUGCCGCCUCUUUCUGCAGAGCAAUUUCAGAGUCCUGUCACAUCCUCUCCCCAGCCAUGCUGCAGCCUGAAACUUCUUUACCCAAGAGCAAAAGGGGCAACACCGACUAGGGGCAUCAGCAAUAACCAGGCUGUGUGGACGUGCGAUCUGUGGACCGGGCUUCAGAGAGGGCGGAUGAAGAGGAGCCCGCAGACUUUUGCUGUGGAUUUACCACGUGCGGAACGUGGUCCCAGACCUGGGAACAGAGACUUGCUACAGAGUUUCACCAGAGCCCAAGGGAGGGUCCGAUUUUCAGAAGUCAUGUCAAUUUUGCUUAACGUGCAGAACCUUGGGUUCAAAGCUGUUCACUGUGGGGGUAAUUAAAGGACACUAUCUUUUUCUAGAA
This is a long non-coding RNA of Suricata suricatta (meerkat), 539 nucleotides long. RefSeq lists it as uncharacterized. The transcript has 3 exons. The record is from RefSeq and is a predicted model, not a curated record. NCBI's taxonomy places the organism in Eukaryota, Metazoa, Chordata, Mammalia, Carnivora, Herpestidae.